This 301-nucleotide ribosomal RNA is filed under the name uncultured bacterium. RNAcentral's name for it is "partial 16S ribosomal RNA". It matches the Rfam family "Bacterial small subunit ribosomal RNA", at positions 509 to 807 of the family's 1533-position model. The record is from RNAcentral.
CAGUAGCCGCGGUAAUACGAAGGGGGCUAGCGUUGCUCGGAAUCACUGGGCGUAAAGGGUGCGUAGGCGAGUUUUUAAGUCAGAGGUGAAAUCCUGGAGCUCAACUCCAGAACUGCCUUUGAUACUGAAAGUCUUGAGUAUGGGAGAGGUGAGUGGAACUGCGAGUGUAGAGGUGAAAUUCGUAGAUAUUCGCAAGAACACCAGUGGCGAAGGCGGCUCACUGGCCCAUAACUGACGCUGAGGCACGAAAGCGUGGGGAGCAAACAGGAUUAGAUACCCCUGUAGUCCCUGUCUCUUAUAC